CGCUGUGAAGAUGCAGUGUACCCGCGGCAAGACGGAAAGACCCCGUGAACCUUUACUAUAGCUUGACACUGAACAUUGAGCCUUGAUGUGUAGGAUAGGUGGGAGGCUUUGAAGUGUGGACGCCAGUCUGCAUGGAGCCGACCUUGAAAUACCACCCUUUAAUGUUUGAUGUUCUAACGUGGACCCGUGAUCCGGGUUGCGGACAGUGUCUGGUGGGUAGUUUGACUGGGGCGGUCUCCUCCUAAAGAGUAACGGAGGAGCACGAAGGUUGGCUAAUCCUGGUCGGACAUCAGGAGGUUAGUGCAAUGGCAUAAGCCAGCUUGACUGCGAGCGUGACGGCGCGAGCAGGUGCGAAAGCAGGUCAUAGUGAUCCGGUGGUUCUGAAUGGAAGGGCCAUCGCUCAACGGAUAAAAGGUACUCCGGGGAUAACAGGCUGAUACCGCCCAAGAGUUCAUAUCGACGGCGGUGUUUGGCACCUCGAUGUCGGCUCAUCACAUCCUGGGGCUGAAGUAGGUCCCAAGGGUAUGGCUGUUCGCCAUUUAAAGUGGUACGCGAGCUGGGUUUAGAACGUCGUGAGACAGUUCGGUCCCUAUCUGCCGUGGGCGCUGGAGAACUGAGGGGGGCUGCUCCUAGUACGAGAGGACCGGAGUGGACGCAUCACUGGUGUUCGGGUUGUCAUGCCAAUGGCACUGCCCGGUAGCUAAAUGCGGAAGAGAUAAGUGCUGAAAGCAUCUAAGCACGAAACUUGCCCCGAGAUGAGUUCUCCCUGAGACUUUAAGUCUCCUGAAGGAACGUUGAAGACGACGACGUUGAUAGGCCGGGUGUGUAAGCGCAGCGAUGCGUUGAGCUAACCGGUACUAAUGAACCGUGAGGCUUAACCUUACAACGCCGAAG
Molecule: ribosomal RNA, 894 nt
Filed under: Salmonella enterica subsp. enterica serovar Havana
Lineage: Bacteria; Pseudomonadati; Pseudomonadota; Gammaproteobacteria; Enterobacterales; Enterobacteriaceae
Description: partial 23S ribosomal RNA
Rfam family: Bacterial large subunit ribosomal RNA
Source: RNAcentral